GAUGUGUUAGACCAAAUGGGGAC
This 23-nucleotide non-coding RNA is filed under the name Cricetulus griseus (Chinese hamster). The record is from RNAcentral. Lineage: Eukaryota; Metazoa; Chordata; Mammalia; Rodentia; Cricetidae.